RNAcentral lists this long non-coding RNA (2945 nucleotides) under Mus musculus (house mouse). RNAcentral's name for it is "predicted gene 6600". The record is from RNAcentral. Lineage: Eukaryota; Metazoa; Chordata; Mammalia; Rodentia; Muridae.
GUUUCUUCUGCCUGUAGAAGCUCCAUUUUCCUUCCUAUCUCCUCUGGCACAAGGCAUGGUGUGUGGCCAGUAUUGAUUCCUGCUUUCUACUCUUCAAUUUUUGUAGAAAUAGGGAGAGUCACUCCUUCUACAUGCAUAUGGUUCCUGGAAGGUGAAAUUUUAAUGUAAACCUUUGUGAGAUAUUCACUUCUGAAUGACAAAGGAAAGAUGUCUUCUUCUAAGGGUCUAUUGACUUUCAUGGAUGUGGCUAUAGAGUUCUCUAAGGAGGAAUGGGAAUGUCUGGAUUCUGCCCAGAGAGCUUUGUACAGAGAUGUCAUGUUGGAGAAUUACAAAAACCUGGUUUUUGUGGGUGUUGCUGUUUCAAAGUCAGAGGUAAUCUUCUGUCUAGAACAAAACAGAGAAACAUGGAUUGUUGAUAGAGAAGAUAUGGAAGGAAAAAAACAGGUCUGUCAUGUGAUUAUACCAAGAAGCUACUCCUCAAAGGACAUACACAGAAUUGCAUCCACAACAAAAUAACACGAAGAUUUGUAUGCAGUACACUUUCAGAUCUAUAUCAAAACAAGUUCUGGGAAUAUAGAUGUGAUAGUACAGAGUAUGAACUAUUUGAUUAUGGAAGGGGUCAAUUGGAAAAGCACAUCUUUUUCAUUUCUGAAAAUUAUCAAAAAGCCCUAACUUCCCCUGAAAGAAGUCAGCCUUGUUUACACUCAUUUUCACAACUGGAGGAUUCUCAAGGAAAUAAUUCACAAGAUUUGAAACAUAACAUUAUUUUUCACGGAAAUACACAAACAUUACAAAGUGACAUUUGGAAGAAUAAAUUGUGUUUCCUGAUUUAUAUAUUACAGAAUAUGAGAUUAAACAGUGCUUUGGUGAUUUAUGAUCAAAAGAGAUUGUGGAGCAGAGAAAAAGGUACUGAAUAUCAUCAAGGUGAAGGAAACUUCUCUCAAAAUUUAUGGCAGUUCCCAAAACAAAACCUACUCAGUGACAAGUUAUACAAUGUAGAUCAACAUAAGAAAGAAUCUAUGAAUGCAAUGAAUCAUGGAAGAUAUAAUGUGAGAGGUAAUUUUAAAAGCUCUCACAGAAUAAUUGAUAUUAAUAUAGGCUAUGUUAAGAAUCAUUUACUAAUGUAUUAAAAAACCAAUCAAUAUAGAGAGAUAUUAUAUCAAGAUAAUGCCAUAUUAGAAGAUGCUAUUUGUAAAACAAAUCUAAGUGAAAAUCAGAUAAGCAGCUUUAUUCCAGAAUAUCAUUAUAGCAAGCAUAGAAAAAUGGCUCUGUCUAAUCACUGCUCCCAGUCUUCUUUGCAACAGUAUAACAUACAAAAACUUUGUAUAAAUGAAAACAAGAAUGCCAUUUUAAGUGAAUCUUCAAUUCAUAGCUGUUAUACUGGACCAUGGAUAAAUGGAGAGUCUAAGAGAUACCUGUAUGAAACAUAUAGGGAUGCCUCAAAUGAACCAUUAAGCUUUGAGAGGCCACAGAAAGCAAAUAAAUGUAAUAAGUAUGGGAAAUCAUUUAUCCAGUCCUCAAAUCUUCAAGCUUAUAAUAGAAUUCCUACCCAAGAGACACCUUACAAAUGUAAUGAAUGUGGAAAAUUCUUUACCUGCUCCUCAAGUCUUAAAGCUUACCAUGAAAACUUUAAAGGAGAAAGACUUCAUAAAUUUAGUAACUGUGGAAAAUCAUUUUCACAGUCCUCAAAAUUUCAAGUUCACUACAGAAUUCACCCAGGAGAGAAACCUUACAAAUGUAACAAAUGUGGGAAAUUUUUUACACAGAACUCAGACCUUAAAGUUCACUACAGAAUCCAUACAAGAGAGAAGCCUUACAAAUGUAAUAAAUGUCGGAAAUCUUUUCCACGGAACUCAGAGCUUAAAGUUCACCACAGAAUCCAUACUGGAGAGAAGCCUUACAAAUGUAAUGAAUGUGGCAAAUCUUUUACAUGGAACAAAGUACUUAAAGUUCAUUACAGAAUCCAUACAGGUGAGAAACCUUACAAAUGUAAUGAAUGUGGGAAAUCUUUUACAAAAUCCUAAAAACUUCAAGUUCACUACAGAAUCCACACAGGAGAGAAACCGUACAGAUGUAAUGAAUGUGGGAAAUCUUUUACACAGAACUCAGGAUUUAAUGUUCACUACAGAACCCACACAGGAGAGAAACCUUACAAAUGUAAUGAAUGUGGGAAAUCUUUUACAAGGAACACAGACUUUAAAGUUCACUAUAGAAUCCACACAGGAGAGAAACCUUACAAAUGUAAUGAACGUGGCAAAUCUUUUACACAGAACCACAUGCUUAAAGUUCACUACAGAAUCCACACAGGAGAGAACCCUUAAAAAUGAAUGUGGCCAAUCUUUUGUACAGCAGUCAGAGUUUAAAUAUCACUACAGAAUGCAUACAGGAGAGAAGCCUUAGAAAUAUAAUGAAUGUGGCAAAUCCAUUACACAACACUCAGAUCAUAAAGCUCACCACAGAAUCCUUACUGGAAAGAAACCUUACAAAUGAAAUGAAGGUGGCAUAUCAUUCACUAACUCUCCAAGUCUUUAUAUUCACUACAGAAUCCACACAAGAGAUAAACCCUACAAACGUGGACUGUGUUGCAAUCUUUUACCUGGUCCUCCACUUUCCAAUUCCAUCAAUUAACCCAUACUGGAAAACAAACUUGUAAGUUUAGUAACUGUGGUAAAUACUUUUCCCUGUCCUCAAAUCUUCAAUAUCACCUCAAAAUACAAACUAGAGACAACCUUACUAAUGUAAGGAAUGUGGAAAAUCCUUGAUAUGGAAAUAAUGCCUUCAAAGACAACCCAGCAUGCAUCCUGGAGAGAAAUAUUACAAAUAUAUAGGACAUGCCAAAUAUAUUAGCCCAACCUCAAUGCUUUGAGCCCAUAGAUCCAUGCAUGGAGAUAACUUAAUAGAAAAAUUAUUGUCCCAACAUUCAUAAGGAAACAUUAUUUAAAAUG